CAAUAGCGUAUAUUAAAGUUGUUGCAGUUAAAAAGCUCGUAGUUGGAUUUCUGGUGGGAGCGAUCGGUCUGGCGCUUAGCGCGAGUACUUGCAUCGUCUCCGGCCAUCCUUGGGGAGUGUCUGUCUGGCAUUAGGUUGUCGGGCAGAGGAUCCUCAUCGUUUACUGUGAAAAAAUUAGAGUGUUCAAAGCAGGCUUAUGCCGUUGAAUAUAUUAGCAUGGAAUAAUAAGAUAGGACUUUGGUACUAUUUUGUUGGUUUGCGCACCAAAGUAAUGAUUAAUAGGGACAGUUGGGGGUACUCGUAUUCCGUUGUCAGAGGUGAAAUUCUUGGAUUUACGGAAGACGAACUACUGCGAAAGCAUUUACCAAGGAUGUUUUCAUUAA
This 383-nucleotide ribosomal RNA is filed under the name uncultured eukaryote. RNAcentral's name for it is "partial 18S ribosomal RNA". It matches the Rfam family "Eukaryotic small subunit ribosomal RNA", at positions 592 to 976 of the family's 1831-position model. The record is from RNAcentral.